AUGAACGCUGGCGGCGUGCCUAAUACAUGCAAGUCGAGCGAACAGACGAGGAGCUUGCUCCUCUGACGUUAGCGGCGGACGGGUGAGUAACACGUGGAUAACCUACCUAUAAGACUGGGAUAACUUCGGGAAACCGGAGCUAAUACCGGAUAAUAUAUUGAACCGCAUGGUUCAAUAGUGAAAGACGGUUUUGCUGUCACUUAUACAUGGAUCCGCGCCGCAUUAGCUAGUUGGUAAGGUAACGGCUUACCAAGGCAACGAUGCGUAGCCGACCUGAGAGGGUGAUCGGCCACACUGGAACUGAGACACGGUCCAGACUCCUACGGGAGGCAGCAGUAGGGAAUCUUCCGCAAUGGGCGAAAGCUUGACGGAGCAACGCCGCGUGAGUGAUGAAGGUCUUCGGAUCGUAAAACUCUGUUAUUAGGGAAGAACAAAUGUGUAAGUAACUAUGCACGUCUUGACGGUACCUAAUCAGAAAGCCACGGCUAACUACGUG
Molecule: ribosomal RNA, 496 nt
Filed under: uncultured bacterium
Lineage: Bacteria
Description: partial 16S ribosomal RNA
Rfam family: Bacterial small subunit ribosomal RNA
Source: RNAcentral